RNAcentral lists this ribosomal RNA (1350 nucleotides) under metagenome. Its description in RNAcentral is "SSU rRNA". It matches the Rfam family "Eukaryotic small subunit ribosomal RNA", at positions 158 to 1509 of the family's 1831-position model. The record is from RNAcentral.
CAAGGGCUAAUCAUGCAUAACGAUGGUUUCUUUAUUGAGAUCAUUGCAUUUGUUAGUCAAUAAACCAACAUCUUUUUGAUGAAUCAUGACAAAUUGCGGAUCCUCAUGUUGCAAAAGACGGAGGACGACUGGGUCAGGUCUUUCCCCUAUCAGUUUUCGUAGGAAAUGUAUUGAAUUUUCUAGACUUUGACGGGUAACGGAAAAUGAGGGUUUGAUUCCGGAGAAGGAGCCUGAGAGACGGCUACUACAUCUAAGGAAGGCAGCAGGCGCGCAAAUUGUCCAUUUAUCAUUUGAUAGAGACAGUGACGAUCAAUAACAAUGUGCGACUCUUUAUGGGUUGUGCAAUUGGAAUGACUACAAUUUAAAGAGUUUAAGGAGGAUCAAUUGGAGGGCAAGUCUGGUGCCAGCAGCCGCGGUAAUUCCAGCUCCAAUAGGAUAUAUCAAAGUUGUUGCAGUUAAAAAGCUCGUAGUUGAAUUUCUGGUGGGGUUUUUCUCGUGUUUGAUUGAUAAUGAGGGCAACUUUGUUAUGAAUUGAACCACCCGCCAUAUUGUGGAUACAUUGCAAGUAUGAAUGGUUAACUCCAUUUAUGCUUGUACCACUCAGUCACUGAGAGCAAAUUGGAGUGCUCAAAGCAGGCUUGAUAGCUUUGAACAUUUUAGCUUGGAAUGACAAGAUAUGACUUUUGUUGUAUUUUGUUGGUUAUACAAGAAAAGUAAUGAUUAACAGGAACAGUUGCGGGGGUACUCGUAUUGAAAGGUCAGAGGUGAAAUUCUUGGAUUCUUUCAAGACGAACGACUGCGAAAGCAUUUACCAAGGAUGUUUUCAUUAAUCAAGAACGAAAGCUCGGGGAUCGAAGAUGAUUAGAUACCAUCGUAGUCCGACGCCAUAAACGAUGCCGACUCGGGAUUGUCUUGUUAAUUCUAAUUAAAAAACGAAUCAAGGCAGCACCGUAUGAGAAAUCAAAGUCUUUGGGUUCCGGGGGGAGUAUGGUCGCAAGGCUGAAACUUAAAGGAAUUGACGGAAGGGCACACCAGAGGUGGAGCCUGCGGUUUAAUUUGACCCAACACGGGGAAACUUACCAGGUCCAGACAUGAUGAGGAUUGACAGUUUGAAAGCACUUUCUUGAUUUCAUGGGUGGUGGUGCAUGGCCGUUCUUAGUUGGUGGAGUGAUUUGUCUGGUUGAUUCCGAUAACGAACGAGACGGGGAGAGUUAACUAGGUUUUAAAGUAACUCACGUUACUUUAACCUUCUUUGCUCGACAACUUGGUUUUACCAAGGGGAAGCGCCCCGCAAUAACAGGUCUGUGAUGCCCUUAGAUGUUCUGGGCUACACGCGCGCUACAAUGACGA